RNAcentral lists this unclassified non-coding RNA (314 nucleotides) under Hevea brasiliensis (rubber tree). The record is from RNAcentral. Lineage: Eukaryota; Viridiplantae; Streptophyta; Magnoliopsida; Malpighiales; Euphorbiaceae.
CUGAGUCAAGUCAGAGAAAAUAGACCCCUAUAAGAUAAGAGAAAGCCGCGCAACCAGAGUUCCCCAACCUUGUAUAGGUUGGGGGCGGAGCGCUAAGAAAGAGAAAGCGUUAUCACUAUACGAAAUGAAGCAGCAGCUAGCACGCUAAGAUCAACCACUUGGAGAACGUGGAGCCUUUCUUUCUCGGUCGUCUGUCUUAAUAGUUGUGGAUUCCGAUUCAUGCGGUCGUUCUCUACUGCAUUGGUCUUUUCACUCCCCACUCUCAACCAUAACAAAAUGUUUCCACUAUAUCUCUCAGGAGUAGUCAAAGGAAG